Long non-coding RNA from Macadamia integrifolia, 1773 nucleotides. RefSeq lists it as uncharacterized. The transcript has 2 exons. The record is from RefSeq and is a predicted model, not a curated record. NCBI's taxonomy places the organism in Eukaryota, Viridiplantae, Streptophyta, Magnoliopsida, Proteales, Proteaceae.
CUCACCUCUGCAACUCUACUUCUUAUGGUGGGAUUUGACUUGUCUCCAAUUCCUACCUCUCCAAUUCCUUGCUAAUUUCCUUUAAUCUAGUGACACCUGUUCUCCACAAGAUCCAACGGUUCCUUAUCUAUAACUUAAAACCGCUGAACUUUUUCAAGGUAUCUUGGCGUAGGGUAAAACUGUCGCUGCUGCUUCCAUCGUGUUCUGACUUUGGAUCACUGAAUCCUGUCUCCUCCCUCCUUGAGUCCUUGACUGAGCCGUUCGUUACUAAGGUACAUACUGUUUCUGCAUCACGCUGAAUCAAUAAUCCAUGAUCCAUCCUUCCUUCUCCCGUCAAUAUGUCUUCGUGAGGUUGAGAGACGAAGGAUUUGAAGAGGAGCCAAAAUCCUGAUGAAGGUGCAAUCGGGACAGGUCCGGAUUAUUUGUUGGCGGAAGUAUUGUUUGGGGAAAAAAGGUUGUUCCAUAGCCGUAGGACUAGAAUGGAACCCGUGUUGCAUCCAGAUGAGGAAUUGGUAAAGAAUUGAAGGAUGAAGAAUUGAAGACGAUAGAUCCAUAAGGGAUUUGAGCUCAAUGGAGGAACAAAUCAAUUAUGGCUUUUUCUCGUGCAAAUACUUUGGAUGAGACACUAUGCAGGUGGACUAUGAAUAUGAAUGUGGAUGAUUCUAGGAUGUUGGAAGAAACAAAUCUUCAGGUCCUUAGCCAGAUUUGCUGCAUGGAAUUAUGCCAUAACUUACUGAAGGAAGUUCCCAAGAAUUGGGACUGUAACCUGCACGUGUUCAAAUUUGGGUUAGUAGAAAUUUGUCUAACUCUGGAAGAAUUUAGAGCAUGCUUGCUCUCCCCACCCAAAGGGAAGCUUUUUCGUCCUACUUUGCAAGUAGACUACACCAAGGAUAUCCAAGAAUUCUUCGGAUGGAACAGAAAGGAAAUGAAGAAGUUCAUGGUUUUUCAGAAAAUAGACAUCUUUGAAGUAGCCAAAGCUUUUUCUCGAUAUAGACAUUUGGAGGGAAUGGAUCAGUGGCGUAGAGGUAAUUUCUAUCUAUUUUGUAUGAUAGCAUGAUACUUGUUGCGUUAUCCUGGAUGUGGAGCUGUUCUCGCCAUCAUUAAAAUAGUGUUACAACUUCGAGAAGGUUGCAACAUUGUUCCUACAAUCCUGGCUGAAAUACUUAAAGGGUUGGAUCAGAUGGUCAUUUCUGGGAAAUUUGGUACAAAUCACUACAUGGGGUGUCCCUCUGCUUUCCAACUUUAGUUGACUGAGAAGCUACAACUGUUAAGGCUUUUCCAACAUAAUAAGCUGACAGCCAUCUAGUACCAGACAAGGAGAGAAAUUCCAAAAUUUCACUUAAUUGCUAAUUGACAGGAGUACCUUCAAGAGAAAACUGAAGAUAAUAUCAGAUGGACUUGUCAGUGGUCGCCAAUUGAGAAUCCUAUUAUGAAUACCCCAGAGUACAAUUAUGUUAGGUUGAUAGGUUUGACUCACACGUCCUUUUAUCUACCUACUCAUCUACAGUGGCAAUAUCAGUUACCUCAAACAGAUCUAGGAGAAGUAUUGAACUAAUAUCCCCCGGAGAAGCUAUCCACUGGUGUCAUAGAUCUGCUGACAAAUUUAUGGCAAAGGCAGCUAGAGUAAGGUCUUUUAGAAGAAAAAAGUUCCAAACACUUAAGUGAAGACAGUUGAAGAUCUGGCUUUUUGAUUUAUUGUAUUUCCAUGUAACCGUUUUCCGUUUGUUGUAAAUGUGAGCUUGGAGUUGAAAUAAAUUUAGCCUUUUCUAUCUA